UGAGUACAAGAUGCUACGGCAUUGAAGCAGUCUAUGUCAUACUUCCAAGAAAAGCUUGCAAUGUCAUAAACAAAUAAUGCCUGUACCAUAACCGACACAGGUGGGUAGGUAGAGUAUACUAAGGGGCGCGAGAUAACUCUCUCUAAGGAGCUCGGCAAAAUGACUCCGUAACUUCGGGAGAAGGAGUACCUUAUUUUAUAAGGUUGCAAUAACAAGGUCCAAGCAACUGUUUACCAAAAACACAGGUCUCCGCUAAGUCGUAAGACGAUGUAUGGGGGCUGACGCCUGCCCAGUGCCAGAAGGUUAAAGAAGUUGGUUAGCAUUAGCGAAGCUGAUAACUGAAGCCCUGGUGAACGGCGGCCGUAACUAUAACGGUCCUAAGGUAGCGAAAUUCCUUGUCGGGUAAGUUCCGACCCGCACGAAAGGCGUAAUGAUUUGGAUACUGUCUCGGAGAGGGGCUUGGUGAAAUAGACUUGUCUGUGAAGAUGCGGACUACCUGCACCUGGACAGAAAGACCCUAUGAAGCUUUACUGUAACUUGAGAUUGAAAUUGGACUUUAUUUGCGCAGUAUAGGUGGGAGACCUCGAAAGUAUUCUUGCGGGAAUAUUGGAGUCAUCAGUGAGAUACCACUCUUAUAAUGUUAGAUUUCUAACUUUGUAUCAUUAUCUGGUCAAAGAACAGUUUCAGGCGGGCAGUUUGACUGGGGCGGUCGCCUCCCAAAUGGUAACGGAGGCGCACAAAGGUUUCCUCUGAACGUGUAGAAAUCGUAUCUAGAGUGUAAAGACAUAAGGAAGCUUGACUGUGAGACCUACAAGUCGAGCAGGGACGAAAGUCGGUCUUAGUGAUCUGACGGUGCUGAGUGGAAAGGCCGUCACUCAACGGAUAAAAGUUACUCUAAGGAUAACAGGCUGAUCUCCCCCAAGAGUUCACAUCGACGGGGAGGUUUGGCACCUCGAUGUCGGCUCAUCGCAUCCUGGGGCGGUAGUACGUCCCAAGGGUUGGGCUGUUCGCCCAUGAAAGCGGUACGCGAGCUGGGUUCAGAACGUCGUGAGACAGUUCGGUCCAUAUCCGGUGUAGGCGUUAGAAUAUUGAGAGGAGCCUUCUUUAGUACGAGAGGACCGAGAAGGACAUACCUCUGGUGUACCAGUUAUCGUGCCAACGGUAAACGCUGGGUAGCUAUGUAUGGAGAGGAUAACCGCUGAAAGCAUCUAAGUGGGAAGCCCACCUCAAGAUAAGUAUUUUCAU
Molecule: ribosomal RNA, 1245 nt
Filed under: metagenome
Description: bacterial LSU rRNA
Rfam family: Bacterial large subunit ribosomal RNA
Source: RNAcentral